AACGAACGCUGGCGGCAUGCCUAACACAUGCAAGUCGAACGAGACCUUCGGGUCUAGUGGCGCACGGGUGCGUAACGCGUGGGAACCUGCCCUUAGGCUCGGAAUAACUCCCCGAAAGGGGUGCUAAUACCGGAUAAUGUCUUCGGACCAAGGAUUUAUCGCCGUUGGCUGGGCCCGCGUUGGAUUAGCUAGUUGGUAGGGUAAAAGCCUACCAAGGCGACGAUCCAUAGCUGGUCUGAGAGGAUGAUCAGCCACACUGGGACUGAGGCACGGCCCAGACUCCUAAGGGAGGCAGCAGUGGGGAACAGUGGACGAUGGGCGAAAGCCUGAUCCAGCAAUGCCGCGUGAGUGAUGAAGGCCUUAGGGUUGUAAAGCUCUUUUACCCGGGAUGAUAAUGACAGUACCGAGAGAAUAAGCUCCGGCUAACUCCGU
This 432-nucleotide ribosomal RNA is filed under the name uncultured bacterium. RNAcentral describes it as "partial 16S ribosomal RNA". It matches the Rfam family "Bacterial small subunit ribosomal RNA", at positions 29 to 506 of the family's 1533-position model. The record is from RNAcentral.